Molecule: unclassified non-coding RNA, 1136 nt
Filed under: Cimex lectularius (bed bug)
Lineage: Eukaryota; Metazoa; Arthropoda; Insecta; Hemiptera; Cimicidae
Description: coiled-coil-helix-coiled-coil-helix domain- containing protein 2-like, transcript variant X2
Source: RNAcentral
UUUCGCACUCAACUUGGGCCCGAUCGCGCUCUGGCGAAUACGUAAUACACUCACAGUAUCAACAUAUUUUACAUCACGGAAUCAAACGGGCUUAAAGGAAGCCGAAGGUCAUGGAUCGAAUCAUGCUCGUGACACUAAUUUUUCUUCUCAAUCAUCUUUGUCAUGAUUUUGGUAUGCUAAUGUCAUGGUAAUUUUUCUUCUCAACCCCUGACCCUGCAAUUCGAAAUAUAACGUUAAAGGUUUAGAGGAGUGUUGAAGGCAUAAUUGUAUAUGACUGGUGCAUUUGGAUAAGGAAUGAGACCUUUCUAUGGCUUUUGACCAUAUUGACCAGAAUUAUUUAAUGGAAAAAAUUAACAAAAAGAUAAAACAUAUGACCCUAAUCCAAAAGUAGAAAAUUCAAAUUUUGUUUCUUUGUACUGGAAUAAAGAAGAAAAGCCAUGUCCAAAAAUAUAGGCAGUGAAGGAGGGCGAAGCAGAAGUGCAGGCAGUGCAAAGCACUCGUCAACACUUGCUCCAGCCCAGCAACGGGAUCCUCCUCCUCCUCCUCCUCCUACAAUAAUAAAGGAAAGACAGACAAUUAUCAUUCAAGAAGGAGCAAAGAAGCCUGGCGUUUUUGGACAGAUGGCAGCAACCUCAGCAGGCGUAUCUCUCGGUUCUUCUGUUGGUCGUGCUAUGGGAGAGAAAAUAACAGAAGGGUCCCACAAGGAUCCACCGCAGCAGCAGGUGCCCCCUGGGCCAUGCUCGAAUGAAAUCGAGCAGUUUAUCCAGUGCACGCAGAAUAAUGAUGACAUCGGUCUCUGCCAGGGUUUCAACGAAGCAAUUAAAGAAUGCAAAAGGAGAAGUGGCCUGAGAUAAGCUUUCCAUGAGCAAAGAAACAAAAUUAAAAAAUAAAUUAAAACAAUUGUGUUAACUACUUGCUGCAUUAAUUCAAGAAAUUCACAUAAAAGAAAAUAAAUUAAGAGAACUAGGAAAAGAAAUCAUCUUAUCUUGGAUCCCCGUGUGGUUGUUGGCAUAGACUGAAAUUAAAAAACUGACAAAGUAGCCAAAUGAACUGCAGGGAUGCUACAUGAUCCGGCAAUGCGAAUUGUUUAAAGGUGUUGAUUGUUAAUAAUAGUUUACAAGACAAGUGGGUGCAUU